UACGAAGGGGGCUAGCGUUGCUCGGAAUCACUGGGCGUAAAGCGCACGUAGGCGGACUCUUAAGUCGGUGGUGAAAUCCUGGAGCUCAACUCCAGAACUGCCCUCGAUACUGGGAGUCUCGAGUCCGGGAGAGGUGAGUGGAACUGCGAGUGUAGAGGUGAAAUUCGUAGAUAUUCGCAAGAACACCAGUGGCGAAGGCGGCUCACUGGCCCGGUACUGACGCUGAGGUGCGAAAGCGUGGGGAGCAAACAGG
RNAcentral lists this ribosomal RNA (253 nucleotides) under uncultured bacterium. Its description in RNAcentral is "partial 16S ribosomal RNA". It matches the Rfam family "Bacterial small subunit ribosomal RNA", at positions 524 to 776 of the family's 1533-position model. The record is from RNAcentral.